UGGGGAAUUUUACGCAAUGGGCGAAAGCCUGACGUAGCGACACCGCGUGAGCGAAGAAGCCCCUUGGGGUGUAAAGCUCUGUCAGCUGGAACGAAAAAAAUGACGGUACCAGCAGAGGAAGCAUCGGCUAACUACGUGCCAGCAGCCGCGGUAAGACGUAGGAUGCAAGCGUUGUCCGGAUUUAUUGGGCGUAAAGAGUUCGUAGGUGGUUUGUUAAGUCUGAUGUUAAAGACCGAGGCUCAACUUCGGAAAUGCAUUGGAUACUGGCAGACUGGAGUAUGGUAGAGGCAAGUGGAAUUCCCAGUGUAGCGGUGAAAUGCGUAGAUAUUGGGAAGAACACCCGUGGCGCAAGCGACUUGCUGGGCCAUAACUGACACUGAGGAACGAAAGCCAGGGGAGCGAAUGG
RNAcentral lists this ribosomal RNA (406 nucleotides) under uncultured bacterium. RNAcentral's name for it is "bacterial SSU rRNA". It matches the Rfam family "Bacterial small subunit ribosomal RNA", at positions 355 to 775 of the family's 1533-position model. The record is from RNAcentral.